GUGCCAGCAGCCGCGGUAAUACGGAGGGUGCAAGCGUUAUCCGGAUUCACUGGGUUUAAAGGGUGCGUAGGUGGGCAAGUAAGUCAGUGGUGAAAUCUCCGGGCUUAACCCGGAAACUGCCAUUGAUACUAUUUGUCUUGAAUACUGUGGAGGUCAGCGGAAUAUGUCAUGUAGCGGUGAAAUGCUUAGAUAUGACAUAGAACACCAAUUGCGAAGGCAGCUGGCUACACAAAUAUUGACACUGAGGCACGAAAGCGUGGGGAUCAAACAGGAGGAUAUACCAUUGGAUUAC
Molecule: ribosomal RNA, 292 nt
Filed under: uncultured bacterium
Lineage: Bacteria
Description: partial 16S ribosomal RNA
Rfam family: Bacterial small subunit ribosomal RNA
Source: RNAcentral